UGCGUAGACGGCAUGUUAAGUCCGUUGUUAGAUUCCCCAGCUUAACUGGGGGCCAGCGGUGGAUACUGACGUGCUAGAGGAUGGAAGAGAGAAGUGGAAUUCCCGGAGUAGCGGUAAAAUGCGUAGAUCUCGGGAGGAACACCAAUGGCGAAGGCAGCUUCUUGGUCCAUAUCUGACGUUGAGGCACGAAAGCGUGGGAGCAAACA
This 206-nucleotide ribosomal RNA is filed under the name uncultured bacterium. RNAcentral describes it as "partial 16S ribosomal RNA". It matches the Rfam family "Bacterial small subunit ribosomal RNA", at positions 568 to 774 of the family's 1533-position model. The record is from RNAcentral.